Non-coding RNA from Homo sapiens (human), 375 nucleotides. Lineage: Eukaryota; Metazoa; Chordata; Mammalia; Primates; Hominidae. The record is from RefSeq and is a predicted model, not a curated record.
GGGGCCUGUUCCCACCAUGGCAUCCGUGACAAGAACCAGGAGCCAGAAUGCAGGUUUCUGGGACUUGUCAGCUCCCUUCUGAGUGCCCUGUUGAGGAUUCCUAGAAGUCCAGACACCUCACCCCCCUAACCUGGAUGGACCACGCAGAGCCAAUAGGAAUACUUUUCUGUGGACGUGCCAUGUUGGAAUCCCAGAUCUCCCUGCCCUGCCAGCCCCUGCCAGCUUCCUGGGGACCCAACUGACCCUGAAGAAAGCCUCUGAUGGGCCUAGAACAGAGAAGGUGACCCAGGACCUUGCCCAGCCUUUCUGGACAACUGGAAGACAGUUACGCUUCGUCCUCCACCUCUCCCUCCAACAAAAGGAUCUUAGCAAGUG